GGCUGGGGGAGCUACACAUGCAGUCGAGCGGAUGACGGGAGCUUGCUCCUUGAUUCAGCGGCGGACGGGUGAGUAAUGCCUAGGAAUCUGCCUGGUAGUGGGGGACAACGUUUCGAAAGGAACGCUAAUACCGCAUACGUCCUACGGGAGAAAGCAGGGGACCUUCGGGCCUUGCGCUAUCAGAUGAGCCUAGGUCGGAUUAGCUAGUUGGUGAGGUAAUGGCUCACCAAGGCGACGAUCCGUAACUGGUCUGAGAGGAUGAUCAGUCACACUGGAACUGAGACACGGUCCAGACUCCUACGGGAGGCAGCAGUGGGGAAUAUUGGACAAUGGGCGAAAGCCUGAUCCAGCCAUGCCGCGUGUGUGAAGAAGGUCUUCGGAUUGUAAAGCACUUUAAGUUGGGAGGAAGGGCAGUAAGCUAAUACCUUGCUGUUUUGACGUUACCGACAGAAUAAGCACCGGCUAACUCUGUGCCAGCAGCCGCGGUAAUACAGAGGGUGCAAGCGUUAAUCGGAAUUACUGGGCGUAAAGCGCGCGUAGGUGGUUCGUUAAGUUGGAUGUGAAAGCCCCGGGCUCAACCUGGGAACUGCAUCCAAAACUGGCGAGUUAGAGUACGGAAGAGGGUGGUGGAAUUUC
RNAcentral lists this ribosomal RNA (636 nucleotides) under Pseudomonas putida. RNAcentral describes it as "bacterial SSU rRNA". It matches the Rfam family "Bacterial small subunit ribosomal RNA", at positions 38 to 670 of the family's 1533-position model. The record is from RNAcentral. Lineage: Bacteria; Pseudomonadati; Pseudomonadota; Gammaproteobacteria; Pseudomonadales; Pseudomonadaceae.